This 40-nucleotide ribosomal RNA is filed under the name Ophiostoma minus. RNAcentral's name for it is "partial 5.8S ribosomal RNA". The record is from RNAcentral. Lineage: Eukaryota; Fungi; Ascomycota; Sordariomycetes; Ophiostomatales; Ophiostomataceae.
GCGCMGCAUUCUGGCGGGCAUGCCUGUCCGAGCGUCAUUU